Long non-coding RNA from Apis florea (little honeybee), 336 nucleotides. NCBI's taxonomy places the organism in Eukaryota, Metazoa, Arthropoda, Insecta, Hymenoptera, Apidae. The record is from RefSeq and is a predicted model, not a curated record.
GUUGAAGGGAGACUGUGAAAGGAGCGAAAAGGACGAGGAGAAGGCGAGAGGGAGGGAAAAAGGAGUAUAUGAAAAGGGGUGAAAGGUAGGGUGAAGGUGGAAUAGGCGAGCUUUUUCGGCAGGCGCGCUCGAGGGGGGCGUAAGGAGAGCCGGGAGAGACGGGGAUCGGAGGGGCGAGUGGUUCGCUCGGUGGGAGAAACAGGAGACCCGGGCAGUGCAAGCCGGGCAGCCUGCCCGACGAUAUCGUCGCUCUCGAUAUCGCGUGUACAUACGCGUAGCAGGUACGAAAGUACGGAGUAGGACGAACGUGUGUUUCCGCGAUAAGGAGACAGUCGA